MicroRNA precursor from Dipodomys ordii (Ord's kangaroo rat), 85 nucleotides. The record is from Ensembl. NCBI's taxonomy places the organism in Eukaryota, Metazoa, Chordata, Mammalia, Rodentia, Heteromyidae.
GUAGAGGAGAUGGCGCAGGGGACACGAGCUAAGACUCAGGGGUCCCCGGACCCUCAGACAUGUGUCCUCUUCUCCCUCCUCCCAG